RNAcentral lists this microRNA precursor (67 nucleotides) under Bombyx mori (domestic silkworm). RNAcentral describes it as "mir-2774 microRNA precursor family". It matches the Rfam family "mir-2774 microRNA precursor family". Lineage: Eukaryota; Metazoa; Arthropoda; Insecta; Lepidoptera; Bombycidae. The record is from Rfam by way of RNAcentral.
ACAACAUUCGGUCCGUCGAUCUACCAAGCAAUAUCACACGCACAGUGGAAGAUGUUCUCUUUGUAGC